This 443-nucleotide ribosomal RNA is filed under the name uncultured bacterium. RNAcentral describes it as "partial 16S ribosomal RNA". It matches the Rfam family "Bacterial small subunit ribosomal RNA", at positions 338 to 795 of the family's 1533-position model. The record is from RNAcentral.
CCUACGGGAGGCAGCAGUGGGGAAUAUUGGGCAAUGGAGGCAACUCUGACCCAGCAACGCCGCGUGAAUGAUGAAGGUCUUCGGAUUGUAAAGUUCUGUGAUGGGGGAUGAACACAAUGACGGUACCCCAAUAGCAAGCCACGGCUAACUACGUGCCAGCAGCCGCGGUAAUACGUAUGUGGCAAGCGUUAUCCGGAAUGACUGGGCGUAAGGGGUGCGUAGGUGGUGUAGUAAGUUGGCGGUGUAAUUCCGGGGCUCAACCUCGGCGCUACCGCCAAAACUAUUAGACAAGAGUGCAGGAGGGGUAAGUGGAAGUCGUAGUGGAGCGGUGGAAUGCGUAGAUAUUAGGAGGAACAUCAGGGGCGAAGGCGACUUACUGGACUGUAACUGACACGGAGGCACGAAAGCGUGGGGAGCAAACAGGAUUAGAUACCCUUGUAGUC